CUCUGGUUGACUAAAGCCUCAGUUUCGGUUAGCUUUCUGCGCGGACAACACACUAUGGAGCAGUCGGAGUAUGUGCCGUCGCUGCCCGAAAUUGCAUGCCAGCAGUACGCCGAAAAGCUGGAAGUUCAUGGCAAGCAGUAUCCUGACCCGAACACAAUUUCGGUGGGAAUGAAUGACCCGAAGCCUUGGCCAUAGGCUAGGUUUGGGGAGAAAUACAUGUACAUCGUUCACACGCGUGGCCGGUACAGUGCUAAGGCGAUCAAAUCCUACCGAUCGCUGAAAGCGUACGGCCUUGCCAUAGAAGGGCACGUACACAAAAUGCAAAUUUUCGACUUGAGUAUGGAAUGCUGUUUCCUGAAAGCAGAAGUGACGCCGUUGCAGAGGAAGGCCUCCAAGCCUUACGAGGCAUGGGAUCUUGUUUGUGGAGACGGCAGAGUUCACACGAUGCAUUGUACGUGCAUGGCUGGACUUGGAGAAGUCUGCGCACAUGUGGCAGCACUGCUUUUCAAAGUGGAGCUGCUCAUUUUGUCUGCGUUUGUGAGGUCCACAACAUCCCAGCUUUGCGAGUGGAACAACACGUUUCGAGAAAGUGUGGAGCCUACAUGGGUCAGAGACGCGAACAUUGUGAAAGACCGACACGGCAAGGGCUUCAAGGGAAUGAAGAGGAAGCGCUGUGUUGCACAAGCCGCGAAGGCAACGUUUCCAGGAAUUCUUGACUCGCUUUAUUCUGUUCUUCCGGCUGCAGUUGUGUUUACAGCAUUCUCAAAGUAUGCCACACUUGGUGAAGAAACAGAAAGCGCUGAUGAAUGCGAGAUUGCUGCUGAACUGCCAGAAAGCUUGUGCGAAAUGUAUGACAAGACAUGGGAAACCCAGAAUAAGUCUGCCAGAGAUAGUGAUAUUGAUUCAUUAUUGAAGGCGCGGAUGAGCCACAAUGAUGUCGCACAGAUAGAAGAAAAAACAAGAAUGCAAAGGAAGUGCUUGCUCCGGUUUCAGCAAAGAUGUGGGCGGGUAACGGGAUCAGCGUAGAGUAAAGUUGUUAAAUGUAAGAACGAGAGUUCUGCAGCACGCCUAGCAGCCAACAUUGCCCAGUCUCCUCUAGUGCUUUAUGAAACUCGUCACAGAAAGGCUGUCGCUAUGAAUUAUGGAAUAGAGCAUGAAGAGAUAGCAAGGAAGCGGUAUGUUCAGUACCAGAAGCAACACGACGUCGAUUUUAAAUGCAGAUAGGCCGGCCUGUUUAUUUGUGAAGAAUUUCAGUUUAUUGCAGCCAGUCCAAUUGACACUGUAGAAUGCAGUUGCUGUAACCGUCGAGUUAUUGAAAUUAAAUGCCCAUACAAGUACAGAGAUCUGCCCAUUAUUGAAAUUAUAAAGAAAGGUUUCUACUUAGAUGAAAAUUGUCGC
Dermacentor albipictus is the source of this 1398-nucleotide non-coding RNA. Lineage: Eukaryota; Metazoa; Arthropoda; Arachnida; Ixodida; Ixodidae. The record is from RefSeq and is a predicted model, not a curated record.